GACGUAGGGCGCGAGCGUUGUCCGGAUUUAUUGGGCGUAAAGAGCUCGUAGGCGGCUUGUCGCGUCGACUGUGAAAACCCGCGGCUCAACUGCGGGCCUGCAGCCGAUACGGGCAGGCUAGAGUUCGGUAGGGGAGACUGGAAUUCCUGGUGUAGCGGUGAAAUGCGCAGAUAUCGGGAGGAACACCAGUGGCGAAGGCGACUACCUGGCCUGUUCUUGACGCUGAGGCGCGAAAGCUAGGGGAGCAAACGGG
RNAcentral lists this ribosomal RNA (253 nucleotides) under uncultured bacterium. RNAcentral's name for it is "partial 16S ribosomal RNA". It matches the Rfam family "Bacterial small subunit ribosomal RNA", at positions 524 to 776 of the family's 1533-position model. The record is from RNAcentral.